This 489-nucleotide ribosomal RNA is filed under the name uncultured bacterium. RNAcentral's name for it is "partial 16S ribosomal RNA". It matches the Rfam family "Bacterial small subunit ribosomal RNA", at positions 28 to 507 of the family's 1533-position model. The record is from RNAcentral.
GACGAACGCUGGCGGCGUGCUUAACACAUGCAAGUCGAACGGUGAAGGGAUCAGCUUGCUGGUUCUGGAUGAGUGGCGAACGGGUGAGUAACACGUGAGUAACCUGCCCCCUUCUUCUGGAUAACCGCAUGAAGGUGUGGCUAAUACGGGAUAUUCUGCGCCUGCUGCAUGGUGGGUGUGGGAAAGAUAUUGUUUCGGUGGGGGAUGGGCUCGCGGCCUAUCAGCUUGUUGGUGGGGUGAUGGCCUACCAAGGCGGUGACGGGUAGCCGGCCUGAGAGGGUGGACGGUCACACUGGGACUGAGACACGGCCCAGACUCCUACGGGAGGCAGCAGUGGGGAAUAUUGCACAAUGGGCGCAAGCCUGAUGCAGCGACGCCGCGUGAGGGAGGGAGGCCUUCGGGUUGUGAACCUCUUUCGCCAGUGAAGCAGGCCUGUCCCUUGUGGGUGGGUUGACGGUAGCUGGAUAAGAAGCGCCGGCUAACUACGUG